AUACGGAGGGUGCAAGCGUUAUUCGGAAUCACUGGGCGUAAAGGACGCGUAGGCGGGUUGGCAAGUCAGAUGUGAAAUCCUACAGCUUAACUGUAGAACUGCAUUUGAAACUGCUAACCUAGAGUAUGGGAGGGGGAGAUGGAAUUAGUGGUGUAGGGGUAAAAUCCGUAGAUAUCACUAGGAAUACCGAAAGCGAAGGCGAUCUCCUGGAACAUAACUGACGCUAAGGCGUGAAAGCGUGGGGAGCAACCAGGAUUAGAAACCCUUGUAGUCC
RNAcentral lists this ribosomal RNA (274 nucleotides) under uncultured bacterium. Its description in RNAcentral is "partial 16S ribosomal RNA". It matches the Rfam family "Bacterial small subunit ribosomal RNA", at positions 523 to 796 of the family's 1533-position model. The record is from RNAcentral.